Musa acuminata AAA Group (dessert banana) is the source of this 2559-nucleotide long non-coding RNA. RefSeq lists it as uncharacterized. Lineage: Eukaryota; Viridiplantae; Streptophyta; Magnoliopsida; Zingiberales; Musaceae. The record is from RefSeq and is a predicted model, not a curated record. The transcript has 4 exons.
UGUGCUGGCUGUGCGUGGAACCACACGAGGGUUCUCCUCUGCAUCACAGCCGUCCAUCUGAGGCUUCUCUCAUGAUGGUGAGCCGUUGACUGGAUAUUUCGGAGGUCAACAAUUUAUUUGCUUCCAAAAUGGUAAUGAUGUGCCCAAUUUAUUAUUGGCCAUUAAUCGUAAUUAAAGAUAAUAUUUUUUUGGUAAAAUGGCUCAGCCAUUAAUAUCGGAGGAACAGUUUCGUAAAAGGAAAUCGAACUGAUCAACUCCAAUCAUUCACCUUCACACAUCAUCUCAUUCUGCGCACAUCGCGAGGAAUUUUAGAUGCUUUGUAAAGGUGGAAGAUUCGUGUGAUCGAGUGUGAAUUUUUAGUAUAUGAAGAUGGAGGAUGCAGAAUCCCCAAUUGUCGAGCAGAUUCCACACCUGCAAGCACGAGAGAGGGAGUAAGGAUGAGAUGCGACGACAACGAUAUCAAAGCUUUCUGGCCUUCUCAUCGGAAGAAGACGGUCACAAAGCAAACACUAGGAUCCACAUGAUGCAUCAGAAGGAGAGAAACACCUUGUGCUGAUGAGCCCAAAGGCCCUUGACUUAUGCAUUCAAAGCGCUUGAUAUAUUGCCCCACAUAGCUCAAAGAGAGGAACAGCACCAACACCUCGGAGCUAGCCAAAACCACGGCUUGCAACAAGGUGCAGCUGAAGAGGAUAGGGGUCAAAUCUAUGAACUAGCCACAUCCGGGCACUUAAUCUAUUCAGAACAUUGAUGACAUGUUUCACAAUCAUUCAAGGACAAUGGAAGGUUUGAUUGGGAGGUACAAGGUGGUGUACUUGAGAAGUUCAUCCAACUGCAGGUGGUGAGACAAACUGACUCUUUGGGUAAUUGAUAGCAUGUUAAAUAUGAUUUAUAGACAAUGAUUCAAUUGUGUCAUAAACAGCAAGGCUCUUUGAAAUACAUAAGCUAUAUGUUCCAUCUUCAUCCAUUAGCAACAUAGAUAGCAGAUAUCUUUUGCUUCUUAUGACUGUCUGUCAUCACAAAGAGAGAACCAUAGAACUGCUUUGAGGUUAUGGCUUCAGUUCUAAUGGUUUGACUUUGUCUUCAUUUCACCAGGAACCUCAAUUACAAGAGUGACAAGGUAAUUACAAAGUCAGAUGCAUCGGUGCACAUCAUAUACAGGUACAUUUCUAUGUUGUUAUUUAUAAAUAUACUUGUAUUGCUAUACAAAUCUAGAACACAUCCGAAAAGGCUGUGAUCAUUUGCAAAUAAUUCUUUUUUACUAUUCUCUAAAAGAAAGGAUAUACAAAUUAAUGUCUUGGAAUCAUUAACUACAUUUUCUAUCUUUUUUCAGAACUGUGUUCCUAUCUAAUUUAUUAUACUGACAGUCCAGGUAAUUAUCAUUACCCACAAAUUCAGUUUCUGCAUUGAGAGUAUUCAAUUAGUUUGAUAAGUUCACCAUGCAUUAGCUUGAGUUUUUCUUUUCUUUUCCCUUUGAACUGUCAUACAGAAAUCAUCAAGGUUCAUUUUGCGCAAUUGAAUAGAACAAUAUUUAUUUCGUAUGUGUGUCAAAAUAAGAACUGCAUUAUUAAUAUUCUCUUUUACGAGUAUUUUGAGUUGUGCAGCUUGUCAGCCAAGUUCUUGUUUCUUAUAAAAAGGAUUAUUUCUUUUUUUGCUCAAGGACAAUCAAUGUAUUAUUCAUACAGGCACAUAUAAUGCAGUUCAUGGUUAACAGAAGAGUGACAGCUAGAUUUCCAUUUAAUGAAACAGAGUUUGGUCUCCCUAUACUUGUAGUGUUUGAUGAUGAGUCCCUACAGAAUUAUUAUCUUCAUCUGAAUGUUGUAUUUCUUUUCUUCUUUAUGCAUGCUUCCAAUACAUAUUUCUGAUUUUUUUUUUUGCCUCUCAAAGAAGCUAUCUGUAAGCAUAUCAAUUAAUCUAAAAAUAUGUACAUAGUCGCCAUGACAUUUUGCAUCUAUAAUUGAAAGAUAUGUUUUAUGACAGAUACAUUGGAGGGGAACUGCUGAAUGUAUGAAACCAGAUGAAAUGCAUAUAUCUUGGAAAGGCAUCUCAACAUGAAUGUGUCAUAUCCAUGAUGCAAAGGUCACUUUGGAAAAGAUUUGAUUUGUCAUAGUUGCAUGUCUUCCCUACUCUUCAUCUCACAACUUGUGGGUUAAUAUUAUCCUACACUCUGUUUUCCGGUUCAUCUUUAAGCAAGGCCAUCUUUAGUCAACCUCAUCAUGACUUCUGGCAACUGAGCUGGUCCAUGUGGAUUUCCUUGAAGUCGUUGGCAAAGGCAGACCUCUUUCUUCAUGUUCCAUCAAGAAAUCUUGUUGACAGAGUAAGCUUACAAGCCAAUAAGGAAUAAAAGAACAAGGAAUGAUAAAAGGGUUGACUGAUUAGAGAUAAAGAUAAAGAACAACAAAGGGCUAUAUACAAAAAGAUUCCAUAAGCAGAUUUGUAUACACAAGUAUCGCCUAUCGAUGAAGUCAAACUGCCCCUGAUCAACUUGAAGAGUGUUGCAACUGUUUCAGUAGGCAUAUGAACAUAUGCUUUCAGCAUCUUCAAUAGAUACCUUUGCAUAGA